ACAUUUCUUUUAGGUUAUAUUAAAGGUAAUUUCUGCCCAAUGAUUAGUUUUAAAUGGCUGCAGUAUUUUGACUGUACAAAGGUAGCAUAAUAAUUAGUCUUUUAAUUGGGGACUAGAAUGAAGGAAAAAAUGAAAAAUUUAUUUUAUUUAAUUAAUUAUUAAAAUUUAAUUUUUAAGUCAAAAAGCUUAAUUUUUUUAUAGGGACGAUAAGACCCUAUAGAACUUUACAAUUUAAAAAUUAAGCUUUAGUUUAUUAUUUAAUUUUAAUUUGUUUUAUUGGGGUGAUAAAUAAAUUUAAGCUACUUUAUUUUAUAAUUUCAUUAAUUAGUGUUUUUAUGUUCCAUUUCUAUAUGAUUAUAAGUUUAAGUUACCUUAGGGAUAACAGCGUAAUUUUAAUGGGGAGUUCAUAUCUAUAUUAAAGUUUGCGACCUCGAUGUUGAAUUAAGAAAAGAUUAAGGGGUAGGUUCUUUAUAUUCUAAGUCUGUUCGACUUUUAAAUUCUUACAUGAUCUG
This 512-nucleotide ribosomal RNA is filed under the name Oncopsis sp. Cao. Its description in RNAcentral is "partial large subunit ribosomal RNA". The stretch from base 378 to 512 matches the Rfam family "Bacterial large subunit ribosomal RNA", at positions 2473 to 2607 of the family's 2925-position model. Lineage: Eukaryota; Metazoa; Arthropoda; Insecta; Hemiptera; Cicadellidae. The record is from RNAcentral.